This is an RNA transcript of Doryrhamphus excisus (bluestripe pipefish), 5849 nucleotides long. It is a transcript of the gene named ArfGAP with SH3 domain, ankyrin repeat and PH domain 2a, with no coding region annotated. Lineage: Eukaryota; Metazoa; Chordata; Actinopteri; Syngnathiformes; Syngnathidae. The record is from RefSeq and is a predicted model, not a curated record.
CACUAAUCUUGCUCAGUCAAGAUUCCUUAACAGGCGAGGACCUCACAGUUUUCUAAAUGACCAUCGUUUGUGGUGGGUAUUUGAAUGUAACACAAGUUCACGCCCACUCUAAAUUUGAUUGGCUCCCAUUUGCUCGCAGUUGUUUCCUAUUGGCUAGUGUCAGUCCAUUGAAUUCCCUCCUCUACCUUUGUGGAUUUCAUGCGCUCUGGAUGAAGCGGCUUCUUGUUGUUUCCCGGGACUCUCUGGAGUGACGCCACCCACCCCUCUCAAGGCGGACAUUUGGACAACAAGAGAGGACAAUAGACAUCACGGAGGGAACUUCAUUGUCUUUUUCCAACAGAGAGACAACCGCUAAACCUGAAUGUGGACGGAGUAGUUCCACUGAAAGGCAAGUAGGUAGAAGAAGCUGUCCUCUAAGCCAGCGUACACCGUCGCCAAGGAGCACCGUGUUGGGACCGAGCGGCCAUCCAAGUCCUACCCAGACAUGCUCCACUGUCAGCCGACGCCACCGAGGACUCUACUACCGCUGCGUUGAACUUGCCGAGAACUGUUUGGGAGUUACGAAAAAGCGACUCUUCUCCUGUUUUAUCGGGGAGUGAUACCGGUAAUUAUGCCCGAUCAAAUCACCGUGUCAGAGUUUGUGGUGGAGACCAACGAGGACUACAAGUCACCCACUGCCUCCAACUUUACCACCAGGAUGUCCCACUGCAGAAACACCGUGGCUGCACUGGAGGAGGCGCUGGACGUGGACCGCAGUGUUUUAUACAAGAUGAAAAAGUCAGUCAAGGCCAUCUACACAUCUGGUUUGGCUCAUGUGGAGAAUGAGGAGCAGUACACACAGGCACUGGAGAAGUUUGGAGAAAACUGCGUGUACAGAGACGAUCCGGAUUUGGGUUCGGCUUUCCUCAAGUUCUCCGUCUUCACCAAAGAGCUCACUGCACUCUUCAAAAACCUGUUCCAAAACAUGAACAACAUCAUCACCUUCCCAUUGGACAGCCUGCUGAAAGGAGACCUGAAAGGAGUCAAAGGGGAUCUGAAAAAACCUUUUGACAAAGCCUGGAAGGACUACGAAACAAAAGUCUGCAAAGGACAUUCUUUACUGAAAGGUACCAAAAUAGAGAAGGAAAAGAAGGAGCACGCCAGACAGCACGGGAUGAUCAGGACGGAGAUUAGCGGGGCGGAAAUUGCCGAGGAGAUGGAGAAGGAAAGGAGAUUCUUUCAGCUGCAGAUGUGUGAGUAUCUCCUCAAAGUCAACGAAAUCAAAAUCAAAAAGGGAGUAGACUUGCUGCAGAACCUCAUCAAGUACUUCCACGCACAGUGCAAUUUCUUUCAGGAUGGUCUUAAAGCUGUGGACAAUCUGAAGCCUUCCAUCGAAAAACUGGCCACAGAUCUACACACAAUAAAGCAGGCACAGGAUGAGGAGCGGAAGCAGCUGACGCAGUUACGAGAUGUUCUUAAGACGGCUCUACAAGUGGAGCAGAAGGAGGAUUCCCAGGUGCGUCAGAGCACCACCUACAGCCUCCAUCAGCCACAAGGCAACAAAGAGCACGGCACAGAGCGCAGUGGCUACCUUUACAAGAGAAGUGACGGGUUGCGUAAAGUGUGGCAGAAGAGAAAGUGUACGGCGAAGAAUGGAUACCUCACCAUCCCGCACGGCACUGCAAACAGGCCUCCAGCCAAACUCAACCUGCUCACCUGUCAGGUGAAGCACAAUCCUGAGGAGAAGAAGAGCUUUGACCUCAUAUCCCAUGACAGAACGUAUCAUUUUCAGGCUGAGGACGACCAGGACUGCCAAAUUUGGAUCUCUGUGCUCCAGAACAGCAAAGAGGAGGCGCUGAACCAGGCCUUCAAAGGUGACCAGCAUGUCGGUGAGAACAACAUCGUGCAAGAGCUUACCAAGGCCAUCCUAGCUGAGGUGAAGAGGAUGACGGGAAACGAUGUGUGCUGCGAUUGCGGCGCGCCCAAUCCGACAUGGUUGUCCACCAACUUGGGCAUCCUCACUUGUAUCGAAUGCUCAGGGAUCCACAGAGAGCUGGGAGUUCACUACUCCAGGAUCCAGUCGCUCACUCUGGAUGUGCUCAGCACCUCAGAGCUCUUGCUGGCCAAGAAUGUGGGGAAUGCCGGCUUCAAUGAAAUCAUGGAGGCCGGUUUAAGUGCUGAAAACACGGUGAAACCCAACCCCUCCAGUGACAUGCAGGCGAGGAAGGACUUCAUCGUCGCUAAGUACACAGAGAAGCGCUACGCCAGGAAGAAAUAUCCCGACUCUGCGUCGCGGCUGCAUACGCUCUGUGAAGCAGUCAAGGCUCGGGACAUUGUCUCCCUUAUUCAGGUCUAUGCUGAGGGAGUGGACCUCAUGGAACCCAUACCGCUUGCCAAUGGACAUGAGCAAGGAGAGACAGCCCUUCAUCUAGCUGUCAGGCUGGUGGACAGAACGUCUCUCCACAUUGUUGACUUCCUCACUCAGAACAGUUUAAAUUUGGAUAAGCAGACGACCAAGGGCAGCACUGCGCUGCACUACUGCUGUCUGACCGACAACAGUGAGUGCCUGAAGCUGCUGCUGAGGGGGAAGGCCUCCAUAGACAUUGCUAACGAGGCCGGGGAGACACCUCUGGACAUCGCACGCAGACUCAAACACCUUCAGUGUGAGGAGCUGUUGAAUCAGGCACUGGCGGGGAAAUUCAAUGCGCACGUCCACGUGGAGUAUGAAUGGUGCCUGCAGCAUGAAGACUUGGAUGAAAGUGAUGAGGAUCUGGAAGAAAAGCCCAGUCCUCACCGCCGAGACGAGCGUCCGGUCAGCUGUUACACGCCCAACACCAACUCCCACACGCAGCCUCGUGACAAUGCCGGCCUCGGCAAGGACAAGCAGCGGUCCUACCUGCCAAAUCUAGUCAACAACGAGACCUACGGCACCAUCGUCAACAACAACCCGCCUCAGUCCGGUCUUCCUGCCACCACCUCUGCACCACCGCUGCCCCCGAGGAACCUGGUCCAGCUAACCGGCCUUGGUGGGAUGGCUCAACCGUCAUCUUCCAACAACUGGAAACCCGGUUCUUUAGACCUGGUUGGACGUCAGAGAUCGUCUUCAGACCCGCCCAACAUGCACCCUCCUGCCCCUCCCUUCCGACUCACCUCUGCAGGAGGGAAGGUUGACGGAAUGGGCUUACACAGCAAGUCGGGUCAAGGACCUGCUGGAUCCAGAACCAAUCAGUCCAAGUCCCCUGCAAGCAAUGAUAAAGGCUUCACCCGAGGACCACUAAAUCGGACAGAAUCUAUCGAGCGGCCAACUAAGGCCGUGCCAGGUUGCCCCCGGAACUCCAUAGGUCAGUCUCUACCUCCAGCCCCCCAGUUGAGGAAGGCCUACCCGAAACACAGGCCAAAGCGAGUGAAAGCCAUCUACAACUGUGUGGCAGACAACCCCGACGAACUGACCUUCUCUGAGGGCGAGGUCAUUGUGGUGGACGGGGAGGAGGACCAGGAGUGGUGGGUAUAGGAGAUGUUAAAAAUGACUAAAUGGAGCUUUUCACUGUUGCCUUCACUGUCAAGCUGGGCCACAUUGAAGGAGAUCCAAUGAGACGAGGAGCUUUCCCAGUCACUUUUGUACACUUCAUUGUGGAUUGACAGCCCCAGGAGCUUGCCCUUCAGCACCGUCAUCGCAGCCUGGUUGUCAUGGCAACAAUCUGAGCAUCCCCCUCUGGUGUGGGAUACGCUCAGCGUGUUUCUAAAUGCUUGCUGUUUAUUUGUUUUCAAACGCCUGAUUGUAGCCGUUGAUCUCUCACUAGAAAUGCACUUUCCUCGCUGCUCUGUCACACAUGAUGAAGGUUGUACAGUCCUCAAUUCCUCCUCCUCCUCCUCAUCUUCUUCACUUAUUAUUUUGAACUGUGAAUGAGCAUAAGCGGCGCAACAUGAGGCUUGUAGAUGAUGUUAGCAGCGGAGCAAAUUGUGUUUUGGUGUGUUUGUCACAUGCAGCAACAUACCUGUUCUUCUUCUCUUCUUAUUUCAUGUCAAAUGAUGAGGCUUUAUAGUGUGUGUGUGUGUGUGUGUGUGUGCGCUAUAGAUGGCUUCACAUGUCACAUGCCUUGUUAUAAGGGAGUAGGAGUUGUCUAUCACAGAUUUGUACAAAUAUACUGCUAAAUGCAGACUUAAAGUGCAUUUUUAUUAAGCGGAAAUGUCUCUUUUAGCUGAAAAUGACACAAAACACUGUUAGAAGUUGGAUUUAUUUCACAAGUUUAAAUGUUUUCGUCAUUUUGAAGACGUUCUAAGGAAAGCAGUUGAUUGGGAUUCCAAACAUUUUCUUCACGUUACAAAUUACACAUUUUUGUUCCUGACUGGGACUCAAACUUGCUUCACAAAACCAUCCAUCCAUCCGCUUAUCCUCACUAGGGUUGCGGGUAUGCUGGACUCUAUCCCAGCUGUCUUUGGGUGAGAGGCAGUGUACACCCUGGACUGGUGGCCAGCCAAUCACAGGGCACAUAUAGACAAACAACCAUUCACACUCACAUUCAUACCUAUGGACAAUUUGGAGUCGCCAAUUAACCUAGCAUGUUUUUGGAAUGUGGGAGGAAAUCGGAGUACCAGGAGAAAACCAACACACACACGGAGAGAACAUGCAAACUCCACACAGAGAUGCCUGAGCGGGGGAAUUAAACCCUGCUCUCCUAGCUGUGAGGCCUCUGUGGCUUCACCAAACCAUCACAUUGAAAUAUACUACACAUAAUUCAUUAGAAAUAAUACAAACGCAAAAGAAAUGACCCCCAAUUUGGGGUCACACCACUGAAUUUUUUUUUUGUUACUAGGAUAUUUUAUAAUGGUGCUAAACGUGAAACAUCUUCCAUUUUCUCCUGUCAAACUCAAGGAUAAAUAUAGUUAAAAGUUAUUUUAUUUUGUUUCUUUCAGCUACAAAAAAAAUCAACAACUUAAAAUGAAUUUAAAGAAUUGUUUCAUUGUCUUGAGAAAAGUGUUAGUUGCAUUUAAAAAAAUAAGCAUUCACUGUAAAGUAGUUGGAUGUCGCAGAGCAUUUGAAUGCAAAGUGAAUGUUAAUAUCUUAAUAUUUACGCAUUUAACCUGACACCAUGAGAGCCUUUGUGACAAUUGCACCUAAACCUACAUGGUGUUUGUUGUGAACUCACUGGAAACAGGAAGAUUGACUCUUUAUAUGUGUACAUAGAUUUAUAUGUGUGUGUGUUGAUAUUUAAAUGUACACAAGCGGGCGGUCUUAAUGCACUGUGGCGUCGUGGAGAACUUCUGGCUGGACUAUAUGUAUGUACAGUAUGUGUAAAAUAACAUCACUUGUCAUUAUUUGUCUUUGGGUCUCUUAAAAUGGGAAAUGAAACUGGAAUAAAUUAUAAAUCUUUGGUUUCUGGGAGCAGUAAUGACGUACGUUGAUGUGUCAUUGUAUAAAUCAAUACACUUAAAACGUACCCAAUGAAGCUCAUUGUUUUGAAAGUGCUGCCCUCUACUGGCAAUAAACAGCUACACAACCUUGAAAAAAAAACAAUUUAAAUUGUUACAAGGUCAGGUUAAAAACUGUGACAAGGUAGAAAAUCCAUGAUUUUUAUUUCUAAAUCAUUAAUUCAUUUGUGAAAUCAUAAAUAUUUGAAGUGGAUUUAUAAUCCCCUCAACUGUAUGGAAUUGUUUAUUUUCUACCCAGUACAGCAUACAUGUUAUACGUAACUCCACCACGAGGUGGUGUUGUGAGUCAAUUAAUAAAAAGUGUAUUAAAACGUUUAGUCAAUCUAAUGGAUUGAUUUCACACGCCAGCUUUGUAUUAAUCCUUGUAAUAAAUAUACGAAGAUAUAAUAAUUAAUGAUAAAAGUCUCCCACAAACAAAAAAACAACCAUAUUACUACAAC